This 443-nucleotide ribosomal RNA is filed under the name uncultured bacterium. RNAcentral describes it as "partial 16S ribosomal RNA". It matches the Rfam family "Bacterial small subunit ribosomal RNA", at positions 338 to 795 of the family's 1533-position model. The record is from RNAcentral.
CCUACGGGAGGCAGCAGUGGGGAAUAUUGGGCAAUGGGCGCAAGCCUGACCCAGCAACGCCGCGUGAAGGAAGAAGGCUUUCGGGUUGUAAACUUCUUUUCUCAGGGACGAAGACAGUGACGGUACCUGAGUAAUAAGCCACGGCUAACUACGUGCCAGCAGCCGCGGUAAUACGUAGGUGGCAAGCGUUAUCCGGAUUUACUGGGUGUAAAGGGCGCGUAGGCGGGACUGCAAGUCAGAUGUGAAAACCACGGGCUCAACCUGUGGCCUGCAUUUGAAACUGUUGGUCUUGAGUGCUGGAGAGGCAGACGGAAUUCCUAGUGUAGCGGUGAAAUGCGUAGAUAUUAGGAGGAACACCAGUGGCGAAGGCGGUCUGCUGGACAGCAACUGACGCUGAGGCGCGAAAGCGUGGGGAGCAAACAGGAUUAGAUACCCUAGUAGUC